This 497-nucleotide ribosomal RNA is filed under the name uncultured bacterium. Its description in RNAcentral is "partial 16S ribosomal RNA". It matches the Rfam family "Bacterial small subunit ribosomal RNA", at positions 34 to 507 of the family's 1533-position model. The record is from RNAcentral.
GCUGCCCGCUGGCGGCGUGCCUAAUACAUGCAAGUCGAGCGAACAGACGAGGAGCUUGCUCCUCUGACGUUAGCGGCGGACGGGUGAGUAACACGUGGAUAACCUACCUAUAAGACUGGGAUAACUUCGGGAAACCGGAGCUAAUACCGGAUAAUAUAUUGAACCGCAUGGUUCAAUAGUGAAAGACGGUUUUGCUGUCACUUAUAGAUGGAUCCGCGCCGCAUUAGCUAGUUGGUAAGGUAACGGCUUACCAAGGCAACGAUGCGUAGCCGACCUGAGAGGGUGAUCGGCCACACUGGAACUGAGACACGGUCCAGACUCCUACGGGAGGCAGCAGUAGGGAAUCUUCCGCAAUGGGCGAAAGCCUGACGGAGCAACGCCGCGUGAGUGAUGAAGGUCUUCGGAUCGUAAAACUCUGUUAUUAGGGAAGAACAAAUGUGUAAGUAACUAUGCACGUCUUGACGGUACCUAAUCAGAAAGCCACGGCUAACUACGUG